This 377-nucleotide ribosomal RNA is filed under the name uncultured bacterium. RNAcentral's name for it is "bacterial SSU rRNA". It matches the Rfam family "Bacterial small subunit ribosomal RNA", at positions 523 to 898 of the family's 1533-position model. The record is from RNAcentral.
AUACGUAGGUGGCAAGCGUUGUCCGGAAUUAUUGGGCGUAAAGCGCGCGCAGGCGGUCUUUUAAGUCUGAUGUGAAAGCCCCCGGCUCAACCGGGGAGGGUCAUUGGAAACUGGGAGACUUGAGUACAGAAGAGGAGAGUGGAAUUCCACGUGUAGCGGUGAAAUGCGUAGAUAUGUGGAGGAACACCAGUGGCGAAGGCGACUCUCUGGUCUGUAACUGACGCUGAGGCGCGAAAGCGUGGGGAGCAAACAGGAUUAGAUACCCUGGUAGUCCACGCCGUAAACGAUGAGUGCUAGGUGUUAGGGGUUUCGAUGCCCUUAGUGCCGAAGUUAACACAUUAAGCACUCCGCCUGGGGAGUACGACCGCAAGGUUGAA